UAAAAAUAUUGAAUUAAAUUUCAGAUGAACCUCUGUACACCACGUCGCGGUACGGGAAGCCGGUAAUCCAGAUAGGCCGGUUUCGGUUCAACCGGUAUCACCGGAGCGUUGGACCGAAGGGCAGUUGGGUUUGUGCCCGUAAGUCUUAUGGUUGCCGCGCCUCGGUCACUACUUACGAGAACGUUAUUAUUAAGUAUAACAACAAUCAUACGCAUAAUUGAUAUGUGUAAUAUUAAUAAUUAUUUACUUAUAUAAACUAUUACGAAUAUAGGUGCUGGAGUUUUUUAAAUUGAUAAUAUUAUAUGUAAUAUUUAUUUCUGUGAAUAUAGGUACCUAAGUUAUAAUACUAUUUAGAAUGUUAGAACAAUCAAAUUUUUAUUAUUAUCGAAUGUUAGUUAUUUGACCUGUUUUCGGUAUAAUAGGUAAGUUUCAAAAGUAACACUAAUCAAAAUUGGAAUCGGGCAGUGUAUUGUAAUGUAAAUCAAAGAAAAUCAUGAUAUGCAUAAGAGCGCUCUCACGAGAAAAGUCAAAAUAAUGUAAAAAUUGUAAUAUUCCUCGAUGUAAUUCAGGACUUUACGCUCAUAAAGAGUAGGUCAUAAACAAAGAGUAGGUACUUGUUCCAAUAAGAGCGUCUUCUUAUCUUUAGGAAUACAGGUUUAAAUAUUAGAAAAAGGACUUACUUAAUUAGUGAUGUUUUUUUCCGGUGGUCGUUUACGAACAAACUGCAUGAAGCGUUGAAUUGUGAGCUCUUAUUUGUAAAUUUCGAAAUGUUUACCCUGCUAAAGGGGAAUAUUUUUUAUGACUAAAACCCUGUACUUAAGAAUAUAGGUUGAUAUUUUUCUACAUGCCUUUGAGAAAGAGAAAAUCAAAGUAAAACGAAUUAAAUUUUCCCUUCAAAACAAGUGUCAAUUCCUAGGAAAAUCUACGUCAUAUUGAAGUUAUUUUUAUACUCAAGCAAUAUUCGUUUUUAUAAUAUUAUAUUAGUAUAUAUAGUAAUAUCAAAAAACUACAGGACAACAUUAAUAGUAAAUUACGAUACAAGUGCGAGUUGCGAAUUACCUUUUGGCACAUGUAUUGUACAACCUUUUACAGUACAUAUAUUAUGGCCCUUUAAAUUUUGGACAUACGCACGUAUAGUGAUAGUAACCGCACUAGGGCGGUAAAAUAGUACCUGACAUUCUAUAGGUACUAAAUUAAAAUUGUAUGUAUAAAUGAAUAUGAAUAAUACUAAAUGGUAAGAACUAACAAUUGGAUGUUAUAGUAAAUUAGAUGUUAUCAAAGCCUGGGUGAUGAUGAAGGUAGUCACAGGUACCAAUCAACCAUGUUACUAAAUCACUUCGUGUUUUGGCUCGUUUGAUUUGGCUCAACAAGAUCUUUGACACAAGAUAGUACUCAGGGUUUGAUGAUGAAGCCGGAAGAUGGUCACCAGUACCAAUGAAUCAUGUACCUAAACCACUUCGUGUUUGGGCUUGUUUGAUUCAUAUCAACAAGAUCUUUGACAUAAGAUGUUACCUCGGGUCUAAAAAUGGAGCUGGAAGGUAGGCACGGGUACCAGUCAACCAUGUAACUAAACCACUUCGUGUUUGGGCUUGUUUGAUUAAUAUCAACAAGAUCUUUGACACAAGAUGUUACCUCGGGUCUAAAAAUGGAGCUGGAAGGUAGGCACGGGUACCAGUCAACCAUGUAACUAAACCACUUCGUGUUUGGGCUUGUUUGAUUGGUCUCAACAAGAUCUUUGACACAAGAUGUUACCUCGGGUCUAAAGAUGGAGCUGGAAGGUGGGCACGGGUACCAGACAACCAUGUAACUAAACCACUUCGUGUUUGGGCUUGUUUGAUUGGUCUCAACAAGAUCUUUGACACAAGAUGUUACCUCGGGUCUAAAAAUGGAGCUGGAAGGUAGGCACGGGUACCAGUCAACCAUGUAACUAAACCACUUCGUGUUUGUACUUGUUUGAUUCGUCUCAACAAGAUAUUUAACACAAGAUAGUUCUCAGGGUCUGAUGAUGGAGCUGGAAGGUGGCCACGGGUACCAGUUAACCAUGUAACUAAACCACUUCGUGUUUCUUCAGUAUUAAAGCUUUUGAUUGUGUCAAAGAUCUCGGUCAGACGAAUCAAACGAGCCUAAACACGAACUUAUUUAGUUACAUAGUUGAUUGGUACCGGUGACCACCUUUUGGAUUCAUUAUUAUUAGACACUGACUAUCAUCUAGUGUCAAAGAUCUUCUUGGGACAUAUGCCUAUGAAGCCGAUGGUCCCGGGUUCAAAUCCUGGUAAGGGCAUUUAUUUGUGUGAUGAGCACGGAUAUUUGUUCCUGAGUCAUGGGUGUUUUCUAUGUAUUUAAGUAUUUAUUAAUAUUAAUAUAUUAUAUAUAUCAUUGUCUAAGUACCCUCAACACAAGCCUUAUUGAGCUUACUGUGGGACUUAGUCAAUUUGUGUAAGAAUGUUCUCUUAAAUUUAAUUUAUAUCUAGUUUAUUGGUACCGGUGACCACUUUGCGGCUCCAUCAUCAGACCCUGAUUAUCACCAAGAUAAAAGAAGAAGACGUCACACCCCACUACAACUCUCAUGCCAGGCUACGUUGCCGGUCGCCAUCACCGUGUCCUCGAAACCCGGCUCCGCUCAAAUGGUAUCACCGAGCUAGAGUCCGCGGGGUUGGAUAACGGUCGGUAGCGAUAAAGCCAGCCCAAAACUGACGCACAGCCGUCCACAUCAAGAUGAUGAUUGACCGCCCCACACGGUGGGGCGCGAUUGGAUCCAGUUUCCAAAGCAGAAAUGCGGACGAGACCUCUCACAUCACGCCCUUUCACAGAAAGGGUGUCGAAUAGUCUACGACUGGGAGUGUUGCUCCGUUCUAUGAUGAAAUUAAUAUCCAUAACUUUCAUUCUCACAACUGAAAGAAACAGCUUGAAAAUGGAUUUUAGAAGAUGUAACUCAAUCAAACAAAUCAAAACGCUCAAUAAUGACAAAUGUACCUAUUCGACUUUUUUCCUAUCAUUAUUUUGAUUUUACAUGUCGGAGAUUGUGAAUAAACGUUGACAUAGAUAGCGAUCAAUUUUUCCAAAUUAUUUUAUUGGCUUAGUAUGUUAAUAUUUUUUUAUUGUUUCUAACAUUUUAAAUAACAUUAACACUAUCAAAAACGUAUUUCUGUAAUAAUGGGCUUGUAAGCGAAUUACUUUGAUAACGUGUUGACAUUUUAGAUACUCCAAUCUUCACGACGUCUAGAUUCGGAAGACCGGUGAUUGAACUGGGCCAGUUCCGGUUCAACCGGUACUGCCACAGUUACGGUCCCAGAGGCAGAUGGGUUUGCGUUAAACGAGUUACUAGAAAAUGCCGCGCGACUCUCAACACUUUUAACAACGAAAUUAUAGUUAAAAAUAAUUUUCACACUCAUGAUUGAAAAAAUAAACUGCCAAUUACUGAAUAAAUGUUUCUAAAACAAGUAAAUAUUAUCUUACCCUAUAUUUUAUUUCAGCUAUAAUAUAUGCAAUAAAACUUGGUCUCUGCAACAAGUCUGUCACAUUCUAACAAGUAUCUAAUGCGAAAGUGACGGGCAUAGUGACAGACGACAAAAAUGGAACCAUGCUGCCACCGCUGGAGCUUAGAGCUCCUAGAGAACUGUGUCAUGGGCCAGUCUUCACAACGUCUAGGUUCGGCAAGCCCGUGAUUCAGUUGGGUCGGUAUCGGUUCAACCGGUACUGCCGCAGCAACGGGCCCAAGGCGCUAUGGCUGUGUGCCAAGAAAUCUUCCGGUUGUCGUGCCUCGUUGACUACUGUAGAGAACCAGAUAUUGAUCGUAAAAAAUAGUCAUACACACGAUUGAUGAAGAAUAAGUCAAUAAAAAAGACAACAAAUAAAACAUAUAUCUAUUUGUAAUAUUUAGGUAAUUAACUGUAUAAUGGUUUAAACAAUAACAGGUAUUCUGUCCCCUCUCCACCAUACAUUAACAGCCAUUAAAAGUAUAUAGGUACUAUAUCUAUAAGAAUACUACAUGUAAUGUUAAAAAUGACUUUUAUUUUGUGGUGAGGUAAUUAAACUGUUACUUAGUUUUCAUUUCUUAAAUAUUUACAAUGAAACUAAAGUUCUGAAUAAGUAGAUAACUCACCGUACGUUUAAUCAUUAAUAAUAAAAUUAAUCGAGUGUGGUUUUUUCUAAGUAAAAUGAAGUGUCUUUGUUUUUAAAUAUAA
Cydia pomonella (codling moth) is the source of this 4184-nucleotide long non-coding RNA. RefSeq lists it as uncharacterized. The transcript has 2 exons. The record is from RefSeq and is a predicted model, not a curated record. Lineage: Eukaryota; Metazoa; Arthropoda; Insecta; Lepidoptera; Tortricidae.